RNAcentral lists this unclassified non-coding RNA (245 nucleotides) under Hevea brasiliensis (rubber tree). Lineage: Eukaryota; Viridiplantae; Streptophyta; Magnoliopsida; Malpighiales; Euphorbiaceae. The record is from RNAcentral.
AUCUUUGUGACCAAAAAAGAUAAGAAGUGCUGGUGCUAUAUUGUAUCCAAAGAACUGAAAAAUGUAAAUAACGUGUACCCACAAAACUCAGAUGCAGGUAAAGGGAAGAGGCAGGGUUGGUACGCAUGGCUUGGAGUACUAUAGGUCAUAGAUAUACUGUAUAUAUUUUUGUUUUUCACCUUUUUCAUUUUUGUGUUAGAUCAUAUUAAUUAUAGGAAGGAAAUGGUUUAAAUAGGGGUUGGUGG